GGGAGGUUUGAGCAAUUAGGAAACAACAGAGAGCUCAGAGUCCACAAAACAAACAAGUUAAGGGAUGCUUGGGAUAUUUGCACAUACAUGUGCCUUCCGCAUGAGGUCACAUAUAGACACCCUCCAGGCUGGGUGGGCUGCAGGCCCUUGGGAAGCAGAAACAGAGGCUGGCAGUGGUGAUCAUGGGCUUCAUGCAUAUCAACUUUUUUGAGUAUAAAGGAAAGAGAAAGAAAUUAAUUCAUCUCUCACAGUGAAGCUCAGGCCCAUCCCGCACCGUUCUUCCAUUCUGAAUGUAAAUGUGAUCCAUGAUACCGCCCAGGAGCAGGGAGACUGGGAACAACCAAGUUUGAACCACAGAGUGUUACCCGUCCCCAUUCAACAGAUGGCAUCUACACGAUGGCCUGAGAGGACUUAGUUGCACCGGUCCAUUUGGAGACAGCACCUGCCCCUUCUGAGCUUUUCAGCUACAAAGGAAGCUGGCUGGAGAAGCCAGCAGCUGGACCGGAGCUGGAGACUAGGAGGCUGGAAGACACUGAAUGAGCGUGAAAUUGACCAGUUAAAGUUAAGCCCUUUCACCUGCUAGCACCGAAGCUCUGCUCACUGGUGCCACCGGAAGUUCAGAUGAGCCUCUGGCACAUUUAAAUAGAUACGCUGGUUUCCUUGGAUUUCAUUCAUUUCUUUUUUUUCUUUCUUUUGUUUUUGUUUGUUUGUUUAUUGCUGGUUUGGUUUGGUUUGGUUUGGUUUGAGACAGAAUUUCUCUGUGUGGUUUUUGGGUGUCUUGGAAUUCCCAGAGAUCUGCCUGCUUCUGCCUUCUGGAAUUAAAGGCCCUUCCCCCACACAC
This 841-nucleotide long non-coding RNA is filed under the name Mus spretus (western wild mouse). RNAcentral's name for it is "RIKEN cDNA 1110028F11 gene (ENSMSPG00010028822.1)". The record is from RNAcentral. Lineage: Eukaryota; Metazoa; Chordata; Mammalia; Rodentia; Muridae.